GUGGACAAGAGGUUUUGCAACCGAGGACGAUUACUUUCUUAUCAACAUCAUGGAGUACGAAAUUGGAGACUAGGUCGAAGAAGAGUACUAGUUCACCACGAUGGGAAGAUCUACACACAGCCUAUCCUAGCAUGAAAGAAUAAGGCUACAUGCGGCUGCUCACAGGAUAUGAAGUCGCGCGUUACAUUGGUGAGAAGUUGGUAUGCCAAGCGUUUCUAAAUGACCUAACCAAAGACGAAGGCGACAUUUGCGAAGAGGUGAGUGAUCGAAAAGUUGCAAAGGGCUAGAGAGACAACUUGACCCUCACCAGCAAAUACCUGAAGCGGGUCUUUCCAAAACGAGAGGUUCACGAAGCAUUGAACAAAGUCUAAGGACAUCUUCUAUGCGGCUAUGCGACAACAUAUGGUGGAGCGGAACAUAGAUGCAGGUCAUCGGUCACCAUAUGCGGUCACCAUAACGACGAACAAUUGUAUAUUAUAUACAAAGUAAUACAGGUAGUAAAAUAGAUAAAGGAUAAAAAUAAAGUACAACUCCCCGUUCGUCGCCUCACCGUAAUGUAAGAUUCGCUGUAUGCCAUUGCGUAUGCUCCAUUAUCGUUUCAGCGAAAUGCAACACUUCCAUAGGCUAAACUAUAUCAGCACACCAUCGCACAACGAGCGAGCCUGGUUUAUUUAGAUGUAUUAAUCGCGUUUAUGUAUUAUGUAUGUAUAUUAUGUAUAAGCAGGGCUUAUUACAGUAGGCCUACAGGGAGCCAGCCAUUUAAAACAAUUGGCAACGCGCCUAACACGGCACCUCAAGGUGGCGUGUAAACCGUGAGAAGAAUUUUGUUGUACAUGGAACUAUUAUUUAAACAAUUCUUCUUCUAUUAAUCUUUGUACCUCCGUUAUGAAUUGCUAUUAUUCGAGACGAAAAAACUUUUGGUUAAUACCUUAUUAAGCUAACCAACGAAGAAUCCUAAGAUCUCUUAUGAAUAUGUUGAAUCUGCAGUUUCCUUAGACAGCGUAAGUGCAAGUUUUUUCUAGUUAUUACCUUAUUACAGCUAAUGUUUCUUUCUGUGAUGCGGAAUCGCGGGCCAAGAGUAACCGCUCUACCUUAGAAGAGCUAGGCCGCAUCGCGUAGAAACGUUACAAGUUCUUAACCAUUUAUUUUAUCCUCUUAGAAUGCAAGUUUUAAACAAUUUUUAAUAUAAUUUUUCUUUCAUUUAUCUAGUUGCGCCUUUUCUUUCCUUUUCUUUUCCUGGUUUGUAAAUUAAUUAUUCUCGACAUUUAGCGUGAGUGUAUUAAGUGUUCAAAUUUUAUUUGUUAUUAUAAUUAUUUUAAUUACUUGCACACUUAUAUUGGCAUAACACGUAAGAUGUGCGUUAGCAUCUCGUCACUAAUGUGCACAAUUUAAAAUUUAAAUUUUUCUAAUCUUACUUGUAUACAAACACGACAAGGCACCAUGAUGUCUUCACAUUGACCUUCAAAAACCACUCAUCGAGUGAUUCGAUCUGUUUCUUUCUUGUCAGUCUUUUUCUCAAUCAUCGGUAGUAACCGAAGAAGAAAGAGCAUUCCAUUUUCAAGUAUAAAGCCGACCAUUAAUCUAUAUAGACGGACUUGGGACUUUGUUCUCUUUUCAUAACUUCUCCCUUCGAAUUGUGGCAUUAUAUGACCGGAGAAUCAUGAAAAGAGACACUGAUUAACGGUAUUCCGUUAUUACAAUGCGCACUAUUCUCUUGUAAGGAGCAGAGGACAAGAAGACCGACCGAAACCCCUACAUCCACUUAGGCGGCUGUUACAAAUUGUUGUGCCUUUCGUUUCUUAUUUACUUUUGUCCUCUCUUCAAAAAAAAGAAGGCAGAACAUUUUUGAAAUUGUAAGCAAAAUAG
Molecule: long non-coding RNA, 1866 nt
Organism: Glossina fuscipes
Lineage: Eukaryota; Metazoa; Arthropoda; Insecta; Diptera; Glossinidae
Exons: 5
Source: RefSeq, a predicted model, not a curated record